GCUCGCGGCGCGCGGCCCCGGGUUGGGGGCGGCGCGUCCAGACGAGCUCCGAACAACCCUCUGGGCGCGGCGAGCGCCAAGGAAUAGAAAGCGGAAAGGGCGGCGGCUAGCGCCCCACCCGGUGCGAGCGCGCCCCGGCCGGGGACGCAGCAUCGCGGCGGGGAUCCGCCGCCCGUCUGUGAAUUCUCUUAGACGACUCUCGGCAACGGAUAUCUCGGCUCUCGCAUCGAUGAAGAACGUAGCGAAAUGCGAUACUUGGUGUGAAUUGCAGAAUCCCGUGAACCAUCGAGUCUUUGAACGCAAGUUGCGCCCGAGGCCACUCGGCCGAGGGCACGCCUGCCUGGGCGUCACGCCACCCCAUCGCCCCCGCCGCGGCGUUCCCACGCCCGGCCGGGGAGCGGAGACUGGCCGUCCGUGCCCGAGCCCUCGGCGCGCGGUCGGCAGAAAAGGAGGACACCGUGCGGCGCGACGCGGCGUGUGGGGGUUUGAGAUGCGAUAGGUCGCCGAUCGUACGCCGCGCCCGCAUUCCGCCGCGCGCAGUGUCACCCGUGGGACCGGACCCGCCCGCAGCCGCGGGCGCUCGGACCGCGACCCCAGGUCAGGCGCGGCCACCCGCUGAAUUUAA
RNAcentral lists this ribosomal RNA (625 nucleotides) under Actinodaphne henryi. RNAcentral's name for it is "eukaryotic LSU rRNA". The stretch from base 195 to 350 matches the Rfam family "5.8S ribosomal RNA". The record is from RNAcentral. Lineage: Eukaryota; Viridiplantae; Streptophyta; Magnoliopsida; Laurales; Lauraceae.